Molecule: unclassified non-coding RNA, 333 nt
Filed under: soil metagenome
Description: partial contains 5.8S ribosomal RNA, internal transcribed spacer 2, and large subunit ribosomal RNA
Rfam family: 5.8S ribosomal RNA (bases 1-120)
Source: RNAcentral
GAUGAAGAACGCAGCGAAAUGCGAUAAGUAAUGUGAAUUGCAGAAUUCAGUGAAUCAUCGAAUCUUUGAACGCACAUUGCGCCCCCCAGUAUUCUGGCGGGCAUGCCUGUUCGAGCGUCAUUUCAACCAUCAAGCCCUGCUUGUGUUGGGGUCCUGCGGCUGCCCGCAGGCCCUGAAAACCAGUGGCGGGCUCGCUAGUCACACCGAGCGCAGUAGCACAUCUCGCUCAGGGCGUGCGGCGGGCUCCAGCCGUUAAAGCACCCACCUUUCGCAAGGUUGACCUCGGAUCAGGUAGGAAUACCCGCUGAACUUAAGCAUAUCAAUAAGCGGAGA